UCCAGACUCCUACGGGAGGCAGCAGUGGGGAAUAUUGCACAAUGGGGGAAACCCUGAUGCAGCAACGCCGCGUGAGUGAAGAAGUAUUUCGGUAUGUAAAGCUCUAUCAGCAGGGAAGAAAAUGACGGUACCUGAGUAAGAAGCCCCGGCUAACUACGUGCCAGCAGCCGCGGUAAUACGUAGGGGGCAAGCGUUAUCCGGAUUUACUGGGUGUAAAGGGAGCGUAGACGGCGAUGCAAGUCUGAAGUGAAAGCCCGGGGCUCAACCCCGGGACUGCUUUGGAAACUGUAUGGCUGGAGUGCUGGAGAGGCAAGCGGAAUUCCUAGUGUGGCGGUGAAAUGCGUAGAUAUUAGGAGGAACACCAGUGGCGAAGGCGGCCUGCUGGACGAUGACUGACGUUGAGGCUCGAAAGCGUGGGGAGCAAACAGGAUUAGAUACCCCCGUAA
This 446-nucleotide ribosomal RNA is filed under the name uncultured bacterium. RNAcentral's name for it is "bacterial SSU rRNA". It matches the Rfam family "Bacterial small subunit ribosomal RNA", at positions 330 to 793 of the family's 1533-position model. The record is from RNAcentral.